RNAcentral lists this non-coding RNA (25 nucleotides) under Drosophila melanogaster (fruit fly). The record is from RNAcentral. Lineage: Eukaryota; Metazoa; Arthropoda; Insecta; Diptera; Drosophilidae. RNAcentral also lists the same sequence under 5 other names.
UGGUUCAGUGGUAGAAUUCUCGCCU